RNAcentral lists this long non-coding RNA (711 nucleotides) under Homo sapiens (human). RNAcentral describes it as "HSALNT0277690". The record is from RNAcentral. Lineage: Eukaryota; Metazoa; Chordata; Mammalia; Primates; Hominidae.
CUGGGUGGGACCGGGGCGCUCUGCCCGUGGCCUUACCUGAGCCUGGGCCUCCUCACUUGGACCUGGGGUAGUCACAGGCCCCGCCCCCUGGGGUAGCGUGAGAUGGAAUGAGUUCGGCACCUGGCACAGUCCAUAGUGUGAACCCCAGUGGGACAGUUAUUCACCAGCCUUCCGGGCAGGGAUGGCCCACUCACCAGCUGCUCCUCCCCUGUGCGAGGGGCGCCUGAGUCAUGGGAACAAGGACGAACAGGACUGAAACUGUGCAAGUUAAAGCAAGCGAAGGACAAGGAUCCCUGUGGGAGCCUGGCAUGAGACUUCUGGGCUCUGGGCCUUUGCACUGACCGUUCCUCCUGCCUGGAGCACCUUUCCUCUUUUGCCUCUUCUUCUGCUUUAGUUUUUGAUGCCCCUGGGCAGAGUCGAGGAUUUCCUCCUCUCAUCGCUGCCAGCAACUUAAAGUGGUUGGGUCCACACGUGCCCACUGUGGGACCUCACCAAACUUGUUCCAUCAUCUGAAAAGUGGGGAGAAUAGGAGGAUUUACCUCCUGGGUUUAUUAGGAAGAUUUAAGGAGCUAACCCUGGAAAAUGCUGCCCCGUCUCCCCUUCCCCAGCGAAGAAGCGGAUAUAAACAUCUGGACCUCAAUGGAUAACUGGGUAAUCAUUCUCCUAUGAUUCCCCUGUGCUAGGCAUGUUAAAUACAUUUUUUAUGCUUUU